GUCCUGACGAGUCCCAAAUAGGACGAAACGCGCGUCCUGGAU
This is a non-coding RNA of Schistosoma mansoni, 42 nucleotides long. NCBI's taxonomy places the organism in Eukaryota, Metazoa, Platyhelminthes, Trematoda, Strigeidida, Schistosomatidae. The record is from Rfam.